UCAGAACAAUGGAGCAGUGUACUUUCCUUGAAGGUGUCACACCGAAUACAUAUGAUGCUAAACUUACUGGGCCUUGGUUGCGGCAGUGAAGAUGUCACACUGAAUACAUAUGAUGGCCAACCUGCUGGGUUUUGGCUGCAGCAGUGUGCAACAAAGCCUACACCGAUAGAGAAAGAAGAGGCAUAUAAUGAAGGUCAUUGGAUAUUUGGUUCUUCGGAUCCUGUCAAUUAGACUGAAAGCCACGUUUGGAAUCAUCCAUUUAAGUCAACAAUGAGAGCCAACCUGCUGCUAAACGGUAUGUUCCUCUUUCCUGAGUAAGAAAAAUCAUAUUUUAUUUACAUGCACCGAUUGAUUGUAUCAGUUAACCCAAAAUUCUUAUUUUUGAGUUCAAGAAAAUAAAUGUGAUGUUUCCAAUUUGAUCGCGGAUGUUUUUAU
Long non-coding RNA from Lolium rigidum, 435 nucleotides. RefSeq lists it as uncharacterized. The record is from RefSeq and is a predicted model, not a curated record. NCBI's taxonomy places the organism in Eukaryota, Viridiplantae, Streptophyta, Magnoliopsida, Poales, Poaceae. The transcript has 3 exons.